CGGACGGCUCAGUAACACGUAGUCAACCUAACUCGUGGACGUGGAUAACCUCGGGAAACUGAGAAUAAACCACGAUAGAUCAUAAUGCCUGGAAUGGCUUAUGGUCCAAACAGUUUACUGCCAUGGGAUGGGACUGCGGCCUAUCAGCUUGUUGGUGAGGUAAUGGCCCACCAAGGCGAUUACAGGUACGGGCUCUGAGAGGAGAAGCCCGGAGAUGGGUACUGAGACACGGACCCAGGCCCUAUGGGGCGCAGCAGGCGAGAAACCUUAGCAAUGUGCGAAAGCACGACUGGGUCAGUCCGAGUGAUUCCUGAUAAAGGAGUCUUUUGCUUGUCCUAAAAGCACAGGUGAAUAAGGGGUGGGCAAGUCUGGUGUCAGCCGCCGCGGUAAUACCAGCACCUCGAGUGGUCAGGACGUUUAUUGGGCCUAAAGCAUCCGUAGCCGGCUCUGCAAGUCUUCGGUUAAAUCCACCUGCUCAACAGAUGGGCCGCUGGAGAUACUACAGAGCUAGGGAGUGGGAGAGGCAGACGGUAUUCAGUGGGUAGGGGUAAAAUCCUCUGAUCCAUUGAGGACCACCAGUGGCGAAGGCGGUCUGCCAGAACACGUUCGACGGUGAGGGAUGAAAGCUGGGGGAGCAAACC
RNAcentral lists this ribosomal RNA (641 nucleotides) under uncultured archaeon. RNAcentral's name for it is "bacterial SSU rRNA". It matches the Rfam family "Archaeal small subunit ribosomal RNA", at positions 82 to 725 of the family's 1478-position model. The record is from RNAcentral.